RNAcentral lists this ribosomal RNA (1097 nucleotides) under uncultured Rhodocyclaceae bacterium. Its description in RNAcentral is "bacterial SSU rRNA". It matches the Rfam family "Bacterial small subunit ribosomal RNA", at positions 202 to 1279 of the family's 1533-position model. Lineage: Bacteria; Pseudomonadati; Pseudomonadota; Betaproteobacteria; Rhodocyclales; Rhodocyclaceae. The record is from RNAcentral.
GAAAGCAGGGGAUCGCAAGACCUUGCGCUGAUUGAGCGGCCGAUAUCAGAUUAGCUAGUUGGUGAGGUAAAGGCUCACCAAGGCGACGAUCUGUAGCGGGUCUGAGAGGAUGAUCCGCCACACUGGAACUGAGACACGGUCCAGACUCCUACGGGAGGCAGCAGUGGGGAAUUUUGGACAAUGGGCGCANNNCUGAUCCAGCCAUGCCGCGUGAGUGAAGAAGGCCUUCGGGUUGUAAAGCUCUUUCAGCCGGGAAGAAAACGCAUGGGUUAAUACCCUGUGUGGAUGACGGUACCGGAAUAAGAAGCACCGGCUAACUACGUGCCAGCAGCCGCGGUAAUACGUAGGGUGCGAGCGUUAAUCGGAAUUACUGGGCGUAAAGCGUGCGCAGGCGGUUUGUUAAGAUAGGCGUGAAAUCCCCGGGCUCAACCUGGGAACUGCGUUUAUGACUGGCAAGCUAGAGUAUGGCAGAGGGGGGUGGAAUUCCACGUGUAGCAGUGAAAUGCGUAGAGAUGUGGAGGAACACCGAUGGCGAAGGCAGCCCCCUGGGCCAAUACUGACGCUCAUGCACGAAAGCGUGGGUAGCAAACAGGAUUAGAUACCCUGGUAGUCCACGCCCUAAACGAUGUCAACUAGGUGUUGGGAGGGUAAAACCUUUUAGUACCGGAGCUAACGCGUGAAGUUGACCGCCUGGGGAGUACGGCCGCAAGGUUAAAACUCAAAGGAAUUGACGGGGACCCGCACAAGCGGUGGAUGAUGUGGAUUAAUUCGAUGCAACGCGAAAAACCUUACCUACCCUUGACAUGUCCGGAAGCCCUUAGAGAUUUGGGUGUGCUCGAAAGAGAGCCGGAACACAGAUGCUGCAUGGCUGUCGUCAGCUCGUGUCGUGAGAUGUUGGGUUAAGUCCCGCAACGAGCGCAACCCUUGUCGUUAAUUGCCAUCAUUUAGUUGGGCACUUUAACGAGACUGCCGGUGACAAACCGGAGGAAGGUGGGGAUGACGUCAAGUCCUCAUGGCCCUUAUGGGUAGGGCUUCACACGUCAUACAAUGGUCGGUACAAAGGGUCGCCAACCCGCGAGGGGGAGCCAAUCCCAGAA